Molecule: non-coding RNA, 72 nt
Organism: Nitrospirae bacterium RBG_16_43_8
Lineage: Bacteria; Pseudomonadati; Nitrospirota
Source: Rfam
GCGGGAGUAGCUCAGUGGUAGAGCGUCAGCCUUCCAAGCUGAGGGUCGCGGGUUCGAAUCCCGUUUCCCGCU